AUUGAACGCUGGCGGCAGGCCUAACACAUGCAAGUCGAGCGGAUGAAGGGAGCUUGCUCCUGGAUUCAGCGGCGGACGGGUGAGUAAUGCCUAGGAAUCUGCCUGGUAGUGGGGGAUAACGUCCGGAAACGGGCGCUAAUACCGCAUACGUCCUGAGGGAGAAAGUGGGGGAUCUUCGGACCUCACGCUAUCAGAUGAGCCUAGGUCGGAUUAGCUAGUUGGUGGGGUAAAGGCCUACCAAGGCGACGAUCCGUAACUGGUCUGAGAGGAUGAUCAGUCACACUGGAACUGAGACACGGUCCAGACUCCUACGGGAGGCAGCAGGGGGGAAUAUUGGACAAUGGGCGAAAGCCUGAUCCAGCCAUGCCGCGUGUGUGAAGAAGGUCUUCGGAUUGUAAAGCACGUUAAGUUGGGAGGAAGGGCAGUAAGUUAAUACCGUGCUGUUUUGACGUUACCAACAGAAUAAGCACCGGCUAACUUCGUGC
This 485-nucleotide ribosomal RNA is filed under the name uncultured bacterium. RNAcentral's name for it is "partial 16S ribosomal RNA". It matches the Rfam family "Bacterial small subunit ribosomal RNA", at positions 30 to 508 of the family's 1533-position model. The record is from RNAcentral.